CUGACGCGAAAAUGCUGCGUGAAAUCGCUGCGGUCGGCAGCCGCCCUCCCUGGGGAGCAGCUUCCCUGGAGCGCAGCGCAGCGGUCACGAGGGCUGCAGCUCUGCCCCAGGGAAGCGUUUGGGAGGUUUCAGCGUUUCCUCCCGUCUGGGGCUCGGACAGACACGCUUUCCUGGGCUCCAGGGGUCUCACCUGGCUGGGUACAAGAUCAUCAAGGACUCCUGUUAACCAUGAGUUGCCUUCCACCCAAAGGCAUAGAGGAUGGCGCCAAUUCGACAUGGCUCCCGCUGCCCCAGGAACCCAGCUUUUGAGACACCACAAUGGGACCAGUGACAGUCUUCACUGCAGUGACCAGGACUUUGGAAGAGCCAGAGGUUUCCCCGUGUGCCGGGGUUUGUGCCCAGCCCACUAGUUUGAAGAUCUGAGUGCGGUUUAUGUGCCUACCCGUGCCAGGCACAGAUGGCAAGGGGCGCCCCAAGGAACGGAGGCAAAGGGCGAGAGAGAAAUUAUCUCCGGCUCGCAAAGGGGAAACUGAGGCAAGGAAGCAACUUAGCAAAGAUCUUUCACUGGAUCCUGAAUGGCGCCUGUUAUAUUUUUCUGCAAAGAUCCCUCAGAGCUGGGCCUGCCUUGAUUUGCUUUAGUGAAGUGUUUAGCACCGUUCUGGGGAACGUGAAAAUAAUAAUAAUUAUUAAUCAUAAUAAAAUGCAAUGAUCUGAUGACUCA
This 721-nucleotide long non-coding RNA is filed under the name Struthio camelus australis. RNAcentral's name for it is "lncRNA (ENSSCUG00000001686.1)". Lineage: Eukaryota; Metazoa; Chordata; Aves; Struthioniformes; Struthionidae. The record is from RNAcentral.